GUCCUACUCCUCUGUAUUGUGGAGCUGGAUAGUCUCGACAACGCAAACCGGUGGCAGAGGACGGGUCGGACUCGCUUGAAUCGUCUCAGAGCUGCGUCGGCCUUUCGGACCUGCGAUCGUUGUGUCGUCGUGUGAAGAUGCGUUAGAGUUGUUGGGUGGUGCUGCGUUCAGUGCAGCAGCGGCGGCGGCGCUGAUAUUGUUGGGAAACGUC
RNAcentral lists this long non-coding RNA (211 nucleotides) under Prunus dulcis (almond). RNAcentral's name for it is "sRNA ncRNA". The record is from RNAcentral. Lineage: Eukaryota; Viridiplantae; Streptophyta; Magnoliopsida; Rosales; Rosaceae.